AAUAGAUACCCUGGUAGUCCACGCCGUAAACGAUGAGUGCUAAGUGUUAGAGGGUUUCCGCCCUUUAGUGCUGCAGCAAACGCAUUAAGCACUCCGCCUGGGGAGUACGGCCGCAAGGCUGAAACUCAAAGGAAUUGACGGGGGGCCCGCACAAGCGGUGGAGCAUGUGGUUUAAUUCGAAGCAACGCGAAGAACCUUACCAGGUCUUGACAUCCUCUGACACUCCUAGAGAUAGGACGUUCCCCUUCGGGGGACAGAGUGACAGGUGGUGCAUGGUUGUCGUCAGCUCGUGUCGUGAGAUGUUGGGUUAAGUCCCGCAACGAGCGCAACCCUUGAUCUUAGUUGCCAGCAUUCAGUUGGGCACUCUAAGGUGACUGCCGGUGACAAACCGGAGGAAGGUGGGGAUGACGUCAAAUCAUCAUGCCCCUUAUGACCUGGGCUACACACGUGCUACAAUGGAUGGUACAAAGGGCAGCAAAGCCGCGAGGUCGAGCAAAUCCCAUAAAACCAUCCUCAGUUCGGAUUGU
This 527-nucleotide ribosomal RNA is filed under the name uncultured bacterium. RNAcentral describes it as "bacterial SSU rRNA". It matches the Rfam family "Bacterial small subunit ribosomal RNA", at positions 777 to 1301 of the family's 1533-position model. The record is from RNAcentral.